AUGUCCGUAGGGCCACCCCCAGCGCCGUCCUCUGUUCAAGGGCCAGGAUGCCCGCCAGCCCCGUCCCCAGGCGGCGCGCUCCGGCCGACCCCGGGCCGUGGACAAACCCCCGACGGCCCUGAAAACCUGGAAGCGGUUCCGUCCCCCGCCCCUCCGCCCCCGCCCAGGGCCGCUCCCGGCUCCAACAGGUUUUCCCCAGAACCCAAACUUGGGCGAAGUUUCACCCCCGCGCGCCCCAAGGUCCGGGCGCGGAGCCUCGGGAGCCUCGGGCGCUUCGCCGCGCAGCCCGCGGAGCCGGAGAGCCGAGCCCGGGAGUCGCAGCCGCAGCCGGAGCCGGAGCCGGAGCCGGUGCUGCGAGGACGCAGACAAAGCCCGGAGGCUCGGCGCGGCGGCGGCGGCGGAUGUGGCUGCGAUGGUGGCGGCGGCGGCCUCGGAUGCCACUUACCCGGCAGGUGCGCGCCCGGGCCGAGCGGGAACGGAGCGGGCCGAGCCCGGGCCGGAGCGGAGCGGAGCGGAGCCGGGCGGGCAGCAGCUGUCUCCGUGCGCCCGCCGCCGCCUCUGCUGCCGCGCCGCCCGCUGGCCCCGAGGGAGGGGGCGCGCCGGCGGCUCCACCCUCCUCCGCCCGCCCCCCGCGCCCCCUCCUCCUUCCACCCUUCAUCCCCGCUACCUGGCAGCUCGGGGGCGGAGACGGCGGCGGCGGGACCCGCUCCCGAGGGGCUGGCGGGGCUCCGGGAUCGGGGAUCCCAGAUGCAGCCGCGUCCCGGGAAGAGCGGGGCGCCCGCUACUCCCGGGAAAGGGUUCCCCUCUGAUCUGAUGCCCGCACUAGGCGCCGCCGACCAGCCCACCUGCAAAGGGCUCGAGCUGAGCCUCGGAGCCUCGUGGAUUGUCCCAGCCGCGCCCACAGGACCGGAGCGCCGCCCGGGGACGGCCCCCCCAAGGCCGUGGGGUGCGCUCACACAGCGCGGACGCUCGCCGCUCGCGCCUGGCAGAGCAGCCUUCAGUAAACGGGCGUCGGGGCCUCCCCUCUAG
This 1029-nucleotide long non-coding RNA is filed under the name Canis lupus familiaris (dog). Its description in RNAcentral is "lncRNA (ENSCAFG00040024825.1)". The record is from RNAcentral. Lineage: Eukaryota; Metazoa; Chordata; Mammalia; Carnivora; Canidae.